CGCCCCCGCGGCGCUGAAGGAGCGCGGGGCCGCCUGGCCCGCCGCGGGGCCGGACCGAGUGCGCAGCCUGCGGGCCGAAGGUGACUCGGGGCGGCGCGGGGAGGGCGGCGAAGCUCGGGAGGGCCGGUGCGGAGGAGGCGGGCCGCCGCGGAGCGCCUCUGCGGCCCCGAUCGGGCAGCGAUUGCCAAGGGUCCGGAGAGGCUUCCGGAAGGGCCGCUUGCGGAGGCCACCAGUAGGCGUGUCCCAUUUGUCCAAAUGGCAGGUGUGGUUCUUGCAGCCUGCUGGUCAUGUAGGCAGUACCUAUCUAGGUCUUAAUUUCAGAUGUGGACAUUAGGGCCACAGAAAAGAGACUUGUCCACUCUCGGUGCGUGCUUUGGAGUCAGGGGAAAGGAGAAAUUGGAGCCACUCAGGGAUUCAAGGGACCUCACUUUUAGGCGGGACUGUGGGCGACGCUUCGCGAAUUGGGGUCAGGCGUGAAGUACUAAUCAACCCGUGAAAAGUGCUUAAGCUGAUUUCGCCUCUGGCUGAACCAGACCGAAAGCUCAGGGCCUGGUGGGGUUGAUUUCCACCGGUUCAACGAGAAGAGGUGUGUAUGGAGUUAUCCCAGGCGCAAGGGAGCCAGAGCAAAACUAGCCCUCCUUUCUUCCUGGUCCUUGUUUGGGAUGCAGGCGGAGGCCAGGGUACCACGGCGUUCUCUCAGGCUCAGCAGUGACACCUCCUGGGGGUCUUUGCUCCCCAGGUGUUUCCUGGAAGGACUAGGGUUUUCCUGAAAGAUUCCUCUUGUCUGUGGCAGCCUGGUAUCCAGAGUCCCCAAUGAACCAACUUGGGGAACUCCAGCAUGAAACUGAGUGGUCUUAGAGGCUGGUGACUGCCCAAACCUGCACAAACCUUGGCUGCUCCGUGUUUGUCACUGUGAUGGACAGCUUUGAGAGGCCAGCUGCCUGACCCUGUUCCAAGUCUUCCCAUCACGUUCAGUGCUGUGAUGGACAAGCUUUAAGGAGGUCCGUUUUUCUCCUGAUAUCUGGGCUGGGUUUUCCCCUAUUAGCUGAGGCCCACCUCCUGUAUCUUGAAUAGCCUUCCUGGCAUCCUCCCUCACCAGCUCAGGGUAUGCCUGAACUUUGCUUUCCACCGAGGGUUGUCUUGGCUGGCAGGCCCCAAGAGAGGGGGCUCUGUGUCUUUGGGCUCAACUUUGGGUUCUGUGUUUUAGGGAUUUCUGAAUCUCUGGUUUGUAUCAAUAUCUGGUUACUUGUAUGUCUCCAUUGCAUGGAGCUUAGGAACUUCAGUCUUAGGCAUCCCAACAGACUGUUUCAGCCCCUAGAUUCCACACCUGCUCAGCCCCACCCCAGUGCCUAUGCCACAUCUACCCAUUGGCCAAGAGAAGACAUCUGGGUGGCAGUUGAAGGCUCUUCUCUCACCUCUAGGCUUUCUUGGAACUACCUCCUCGAUGUGCCUGGCAUGUUGGUGUGCACAGCUGAGUGAACCUUUCCUUGUCCCAUCCCGUGUCCCAUUCUGUUGGUACCCCCAAUGCUGGCACAUGCAGUGGCUGUUCUCCUGUUUGUCCACCAGUUAUUGAGUGCUUCCUGUAAGUCAGGCAUUGGCUGAGCUCUGAGGAUACAGCAGGGAAGCCAACAGUAAGCGGCAUGUCAGAAAUUAAAAUGUGUUGACAAUGAGGUGACCAUAGAAGACUGCUGAGGAAGACAUUAGACUUGAUCUGAGAUGCCAGAAGGAGCCAAUGAUCCUAAGAUUUGGUAGGAGAACUUUCCAGAUAGAAGCAAUAGCUUCCAUAAGGUGGGGUGAGGUUGACAGUAGGCAAGCCUAUUCUGUAACUAUCUCGGGUUUGACUUUAUCACCCAGCCACAUCUCCAACUCCAAUCCUUUUAAACUUUGUCCAUGCUCAUAGAUGUGUGUGUCCUGGUAGUUCACGGUGGUUUUAAUUUGUAGUUUUCUGAGUUUGAAGGGUGUUGAGCAUCUUUUCAUGUGCUUUAUUUGUAUGUGGUGCUGAGAAUCGAACCCAGCGCCUCACAAGUGUCAGGCAAGUGCUUUACCACUGAGCCACAGUCCCAGCUCCUUGGCUGUAUAUCUUAUUUCAUGAAGUGUCUGUUCAAAUCUUUUGCCUGGAAAAAUGACUUGUAGGCCCCUUGUGUGAAGGUACAUGCUUGUAAUCCCAGUGAUUUAGGAGGCUGAGGCAGUAGGAUCAAAAGUUUGAAGCCAGUCGCAGUGGUGCAUGCCUGUAAUCCCAGAAACUCGAGGAGGCUGAGGUAGGAGGAUGAGAGUUCGAAGCCAGCCUCAGCAGAUUAGCGAGGAACUCAGCAACUCAGCGAGACCCUGUCUCUAAAUAAAAUAUAUAAAAGGUCUGGGGAUGUGGCUCAGUAGUUAAGCGCCCCUGGGUAUCAAAAAAAGAAAAAAAAGUUUGAGGCCAGCCUGAGCAAUUUAGUGAGACCUUGUCUCAAAAUAAAAAAUAAAAAAGGGCUGGGAAUGUAGAACAUGCCUGGGUUCAAUCCCCAGUAUGAGGUAUGUAGGGGGAGAGACAAUUAGAAAAAUGAUUUGUCUUAAUAAUUUUUUUUGGUGAUACUACAGAUUGAACUCAGGUCCUUAUACAUGCUAGGCAAGCUCUCUGCCACUGAGCUGCAACCCCAGCCCAUUUAUUUUAAGACAGGAUCUUAGUAAGUUGCUCAGGCUGGCCUUGAGCCACUUGUGUUUGUGGGACUACAGGUGGCUAUUGGGCUACACUCUCAGUCCAGCUGGUUCCUAGUUUCCUUCCUUCUUUUCUUUUCCUUAUUAUUUUCUUUUACAGUACCGGGAAUUGAACCCAGAGACACUCUACCACUGAGCUGCAUCCCCAGCCCUUGUUUUUUAUUUUUAUUAUUUUUUUUUAAAGAGAGAGGGAGAGAGAGAGAAUUUUUUAAUAUUUAUUUUUCAGUUCUUGGCGGACACAACAUCUUUGUUUGUAUGUGGUGCUGAGGAUCGAACCUGGACCGCACGCAUGCCAGGCGAGCGUGCUACCGCUUGAGCCUCAUCCCCAGCCCUUUUAUUUUUAUUUAAAAAAAAUUUUUUGGUACUGGUGAUUGAACUCAAGGGUACUCAAACACUGAGCCGCAUCCCUAGCCCUAUUUUUUUUUUUUAAGAGAGAGAGAGAAAUUUUUUUAAUAUUUAUUUUUUAGUUUUCUGCGGAUGCAACAUCUUUGUUUGUAUGUGGUGUUGAGGAUCGAACCCGGGCCACACGCAUUCCAGGCGAGCGCGCUACUGCUUGAGCUACAUCCCCAGCCCCUAUUUUUUUUUUUUUAACACUUUAAAAAAAAUUUUUUUUUAUAGCUUUGUUUUAUUUUACUUAUGUGGUGCUGAGGAUCGAACCUAGGGCCCUGCAUGUGCGAGGCGAGCACUCUACCGCUGAGCCAUAACCCCAGCCCCCCCAGCCCUAUUUUGUAUUUUAUUUAGAGAUAGGGUCUCACUGAGUUGCUUUAGCACUUUGCUGUUGCUGAGGCUGGCUUUGAACUGGAGACCCUCCUGCCUCAGUCUCCCUAGCUACUGGGAUUAUAGGCAGCUGCCCCUGUGCCUGGCUGUCUUUACUCUUUUUUGAAGUACUUUUACUUGGGGUUUCUCUAUGUUGCCCAGGCUGGCCCUAAACUCCUGGGCUCAAAGUAUCCUCUUGCCUCAGCCUCCCAAGCUGCUAGGAUUACAGGCAUACACUACCACGCCUGGCCAGUGUCCCAACUUCUGCACCCCACUAAGAAUGUUGGGGUUCAGAGGAAUCUGCUUGUGUGCAUGUCUGUCUCUGUCUCUGUAUAUGUGCAUAUAUGUAUAUAUAUGUGUGUGUGUGUAUAUAUAUUUUAGUUGUUGAUGGACCUUUGUUUAUUGAUUUAUAUGUGGUGCUGAAAAUCAAACCCACUGCCUCACUCAUGCUAGGCAAGUGCUCUACCACUGAGCCACAACCCCAGCCUGGAAUCUGCUCUUUUACACAUCACAGGUCCCCUUUGUCAUGUUCCUGAUUUUUUAAAACUUUGUCAUCCUACGUAUUGUGUCCCUCUAUGAUUUCUCUUCCCAGUGACCUUGGGGGAUAUCUGUGCUCUGCCAGCCCCCACCUUUCUUCCAUCCAGUUUAUAGGAAUUUGCUGAGUAAUUGUGAACUGUCUCCCCUGGGAUGUCCCCUUGUUGUUUCCUUGUUUGGAUGGGGUCUCAGACAAUGUGGGCAUUGUUGGUCAUCUAGACUCCACAGGUCUCCUGUUCUAAGUCUGGGAUAUUCAAAUACCUCUUGUGUCCACAGCUCCCAGGCCUGAACCAUAAGCAGCAGCCCUGCUGCCAGAUAGAUGUCUUGACUGCUGUCCUAUCUUGACUAGGCUCAUUCUCUGAGGGGGAGUAGGUUUUGAGCCAGAGCAAACCCAGGGUUAUAACGCUGUCCCCUUCAAAGCUCACUUUUGUGAUUUUGGUUUUCUCACUGUUGUACUUGGCAGACCUUAGUUUCCAGAUCUAUAUAGUGCGGGUCCCAUGGGGCAUUAGAGCCCCAAGGCUAAAUGAGGCUGCUCAGUGGAGUGGUGCCCGUGGCCCUGGCUUCUACUAAAUUUGUUUUGCCGGGGCUGCUGGAAGUCUUCCCUGUCUUGUUGUCUUUCUGGGAAUCUUGGCUUUUAUCUUCAGUGCUCAUUGAGUCUCUUUUUAAAUGCAGACGUCUCUGGCUGCCUAUCUGCUUUCAUUUGGGCACGUCUGCUGACACUUUUCUGUGAGUUUAUUAGAUGUGUUUUGGAGUCAUGUGGCAAAAGGAAAGGGAAAUGAGAAGGGAGAUUUAGAGCCUGCCCUGACUUCUGGGGAGAUCCACCCCCCCCAGAUUCUCCAUUGCUGACAGAUGCUGCUGCUAGAGCUCACAAUUAGUCUGGUCAGACCCCCAUGUGUUUCACGCAUAGCUCUACCCCCAGGCCGGAGUGGGCUAGGAGAAUGGCGUGCAUAGAUGUAUGGAUGGCGUGGGUCCUCCUUCCUCACAGGGUGGUCAGCAGACAGUUGUUACUGAGCUAAAUAACAUUUCAUUUUGUAGAGCAAAAAUAGUGGAAGCCCAGUGUGGUGGCUUAGCGUGUAAUCCCAGCUACUUAGAAGGCUGACAGAGAAUCACAAGUUCAAGGCCAGCCUGGGCAACUCCGCAAGACUCUUUCUCAGAAUGGGGGGUGGGGAGAAGUGCUGGGGGUGUAACUCAGUGGUAGAGCACCUCUGGGUUCAGUCCCCAGUCCUGCCAAAAUAGUGGAAGGUUUCUAUUUCAUACUGUUCUGCUAAGUGUCAUGCCAAGAGUACAUGAGAAGCAUCGGGAAAGGAGGGGAGGCUUUCUGUGGUGUUGGUGGUACAGAGGGGGUGGAACCUGGGGCCUUGAACACUUGGGAUCUUCCUGCCUCCACCUCCUCAGUAGCUGGCAUGGGCCUCCUCACCUGGCUGCCUCCUUUUGAUCUGUGUGUGUUAAUUAUUUAGGGAGGUGAAUAGCAAUCUUAUCUCAGGACUUGUGCCCUCUCUCCUUGGGCACAAGGAGCCCUUUGCUGCUAUGCUGACCUGAGUGACCUGAGUGACUUUGUCACUCUCUUUGUGUUUUUGCCCAAUUGAUCAUCUGUCUUUUUUUUAUUAUUUAUUUUUUGGUUAGACACAAUACCUUUAUUUUGUUUAUUUUUAUUAAUUUUUAUGUGGUGUUGAGGAUCGAACCCAGGGCCUCGCGCAUGCUAGGCGAGCACUCUACUGCUGAGCCACAGCCCCAGCCUUGAUCAUCUGUCUUUUGACCUUGUAGGAUUUUUUUGUUUUGCUUUUAUAAUAUAAACUUUGAAAAUUUAAUUGGAUUUGUAAGUUUCUGGGUUUUGUGGCAAGCUUAGGAAGGUUUCCCACUGUGCUGGGACCACAGAACGUUUUCCUUUUUGUCCUUCUUGUACUCCUGUGGCUUUGCUUCUCUCAACGUCAUGUGUGUGCUCUCUGGAGUUCAUUUUGGUGUGAGAAGUGAGGAGGGCCCUGCUGUUUCCCAGUAAGUAAGUGCUUCUUACUGUGGCACUUCAUACCUAGAGUCCUUCCCUGUGCGGCCCAGUGGACCUCUGGUGGCUCUGUGGGCUCUGAGGGGCUCUCCCUGCUGCCCUGAGGACCACCUAGGCUCUGUGCACUCCUUUCUAGAUGCAAGUCCUCCUACUCGGGACCAUUCCAUCUGCACUUCCUGGCCUUUUCUCACUGUGGCUGCCCAUUGCUCCCCAGUCUUGCCUUUUAUCAUCUCCCUGGACUGUCCUCAUGUCCAUUCCUUGCCCCAUACCUUUCCUCUUCAUCCUCUGGCAUAAUCUGAUCAUGUCAUGCAUUCAUCUGAGCGCCUUCUUGGUUCCCACAGCUGGUGGACAGAAUGCUGUACUGUCCACGCAGCCACCGAGCGGCCUUGGUUCCCCUGCAUCCAUACCCUUUGCGUAGCACACAGCACAUGUUCUUUCUCCUCCUGGCCCUGACCUUGUCCCUGUGCAGUGGCUCUGUAGCUCUGCUUCCCGAGGGUGGUCUUCACGUGGUCCAAGUGCAGCAGUAGAGAAGUCCUUUCUUCCAUGCUCUGUCCCCACUCAUUCAUUUCUUGUUUUACUUUUUCAUGUUUCUUAUGCAUAGAUAAGUGUACAGGCUGGGGUGAUGGCUUAGUGGCAGAGCGCUUGCCUAGCACUGGGUGUGAGGCCCUGGGUUUGAUCCUCAGCACCACAUAAAAAGAAAUAAAUAAAAUAACGGUAUUGUAUCCAUCUACAACUAAAAAAAAAAAAUAGAUAAGUGUACUUGUGUGUGUGUGUGUGUGUGUGUGUGUGGUGUGGUGCUGUACCACUAAGCUACAUCCUCAACAUUCUUUUCGUGUGUGUGUGGGGGGUAACAGAGGGUUGAACUCAAGAGCAAUUGACCACUGAGCCACAUCCCCAGCCCUAUUUUAUAUUUUAUUUAGAUUAGAGACAGGAUCUCACCGAGUUUCUUAGUGCCUCGCUUUUGCUGAGGCUGGCUUUGAACUCACAAUCCUCCUGCCUCAGCCUCCUGAGCUGCUGGAAUUAUAGGCAUGCACCACCUUGCCUGACGCCAGCACUCUUUUUUUUUUUUUUUUUAAUAUUUUAAAUUUGUAGAUGUACACGAUACCUUUAUUUUAUUUAUUUAUUUUUACAUGGUGUUGAAGAUCGAACCUAGUGCCCUCACAUGUGCUAGGCAAGCACUCUACCACUGAGCCACAACCUAGCCCUCGAUGCCAGUACUCUUUAUUCUUAUUUUGAGAUAGGAUCUUGCUAAGUUUAAUGAGGCUGGCUUUGAACUUGCUGUCUUUCUGCCUCAGCCCUGAGUUGCUGGGAUUAGUGGUGUGUUUCACCAUGCCUGGCUUCCAAUAAGAGUUUAUUUAAUUAAUCCCCUUUGAUAGACAUUUAGUUGCUUUUCUGUGUUUUAUGUCAUAAAUUCUGCUGCAUUGAGUGGCCGGAUGGCACUUCAGGUACUUCACAAUGAACACAAGGAAUACCCCAGUGAUGAGCCCUGGGGAUGGCCUGCACUGCCUCCUACAUCCACAGUGAUCAGAGUGACCAUUUGUCCUUCACUGCGUGGGGCUGCCCAUGGCCUCAGGGUACAGGCCUUUGAGCGUAGAGCUGCCUCCUAUGGGUCCUCCUCCCCAGUGGCUAAGCAGGCUUCAUGUGGUUCGCUGAGACCCCCAGGCACAGUUCUCGUGGCAUUCUGCCGGCCCCUGCACCUGGUGCCCACAUGUUGCAGCCCCUCUCCCAAGGCACUGCAUUCUGCCUCUUGUUGACAGAUGCACGCUAUAGACAUUGUUCUACAGAAUGGCUCCAUGUCAUUGACUGUUUUUUUCGUACUGGGGAUUGAAUCUAGGGGUGCUCUACCAGUGAAUUACAUCCCAGCCCUUUUUAUUUUUUAUUUUGAGACAGGGUCUCGCUAAGUUGCUGAGGCUGGCCUUGAGGUUAUGAUCUUCCUAUCUCAACCUCUUGAGUCGCUGGGAUUACAGGUGUGCUCUACUGUGCCUAGCCAUGAUUUACUUUUCCCAGAAUGAUGGGCGUCUAGGGAGUCUCCCAUUUUUUGCCAUGAUAGAUAUUGGUACAAACAAUAUGAACUCUUCUGGUUGUGAGUUACGGGAACCAGUUGCAACAAGCACAAGCAUCACAGAAAUGUAAAGUCCCCCAGAAUUGGACUGAAGGAGGCAGGCCAGGAUGCCAGGCUAGCCAUGUUGCUUCCUGGGACUCCUGUACUGGCUACCCAGUGCUCUCUGCUGCCCACUGUGUGUAUGCUUUCCCCCAUGGUAUACAGCCACAGCAGGAGGAUCUCUUCCUGCCUCCCUGACACUAUCCUGCCCCUCUGCCUGAUUCGCUUUCGGGCUUCAGAGGGUGCUCCCAGAAGGGCUGUCAGAGGGGACAUUUCAGGCCUGGGGAUGCACUAGCACCCUUGAGGUGCACCUGUAUGCACCCUGAGAACAGGAGCCUGUAACAAGUGCCCCAGGCUCUUCCCCUUCUUGGCAUUUCUCUGUAGCUCCUAGUGUCUUCUUUCCUUCUGUGAACAGAGUGCACCUCCACCUGCCUCGUCCCUGUCUCUGGACAAAUAAGGUGACUUGUGCUUCAUAGCCAUCAGACUCUGGGCUCUCACUGUACAGUGGGGGUCUUGAGGUGGGUGUGUGAGACACUGUGGUGGAGCAGUUAACAGGGCAGCUCUGGGUUAGGCGUGGGGAUGAUGGCGAGGACCUGCUGGAGGAAGGCUGUGGCUGGGGGCAGGGUGGGGUGGUGCUGAGGGUAUCAGGCCAGGGAAGUCAGGUCAUCCUAGAACCGUUGGAGCCUGGGCUGGAUCUGGGUGCUGCCUUGAUGCUGCCCCAUGGUGCUCUCUGCAGUCUAGGGGUGGCUCAGUGGUGGGAGGCUGAGAGGUGGGGAUGCGGCCAAUAUCCAUCUGGGAGGCUACUCCCCACGGGGUUCCACUCUUCUGUGCAGCUUGCCUGGGCUUGGAGCUGAGAACUAGAAUAAGUCAACCAGAUUAUCUGUUUGACAUUCCAGGGAGGCUUGGAGACGAUUUGUGGUGUGGUGGCCAUUUGUUGGGCUUGCCCACUUUGAGGUUGGCUUCUGGAGGACGGAUAGGCAGGCAGCAUCUGGGGAACGAGGGCACUGGAGUUUAUAGCUUUACUGGGUGGAGGUGGGUGCUGGACACCCCUGAAAGGCGACUGUCUGGGGUGGGUGCCUUCACGGUGGGCCUGGGCCUCCUUGGGCUCUCUGGGCACGUCCUUUCAGAGGAAGGAGUCAAGCAGGGUAGGGACUGACCCUAGCUCAGGUGGAGACUGUGCUCAGUCAGCCUCCAGCAGAGAGCUCAGCAAGGUGGGUGCAUCCAGGGGUGGGGACUGUUUUGGGGAGCCAUAUGGGGAAAGACAGAGCAUCCCAUGCUCACUCUUUUCAUAGCAGCCAGAGGGUUCAUGCUGCAUCCUGAGGGGGCCUCAGAAUGAGAACAUUAAAAGUCAGCUGUGUUCCAUUUGAAAAAUGGUUGUUGCCAGCAUGGUGGCCACACCUGUGAUCCCAGCUGCUCAGGAGGCUGAGCACAAGGAUUUCAAGUUCCAGGUCAGUCUGGGCAAUUUAGCAAGUCGUAUUUAAAAAAAAAAAAAAAUAUAUAUAUAUAUAUAUAUAUAUAUAUAUACACACACACACACACACACAUACAUAUACACACAAAUAAAUGUGUAAAUAUUUAUUUACUUAUUUAUUUAAAGGAUUGGGGUACAGCUCAGUGUUAGAGAGCCCCUGGGUUCAGUCCCUAGUCCAAUACACACACACACAAGAGAAAGUGGUUGCUGUCCUCAGAUUAUUUUUCUUCUGUAGGACAAAAGCAUCAGACAUCUUUAUAUCAGCCAGGCUUGGUGGCACAUGCCUGUAAUCCCAGCAGCUUGGUAGGCUGAGGCAGGAGAAUUGCAAUUUCAAAGCCAGCCUCAGCAACUUAGUGAAGCCCUAAGUAAUUUAGCAAGAUUUUGUCUCAAAAUAAAACAUGAAAAGGGCUGGGGAUGUGGCUCAGUGGUUAAGCACCCCUGGGUUCAAUUUUGCCAGUGCAAAAAAAUAUAUAUAUAUCUUUCUACCCAGUGAUGGGGUGGGUGUGGCUAUUUGAUCAGGUGGUCUUGGAUCAUUUUCUUUACCUUCAUUGGACAGAGAUGGGGCAGGCAGGGCAGUGGGCCUCCCUCUUUGCUGUGACCUCUUGGGGCAGACUGGGGCCACUUCCCUGACAGAAUCCUGAUGACAGAGAGAUGCAGGUCCCACCUUGUCAGCCCUGUUGGGGAGGAGGAUAUCUACCAUGGGUGGCAGCAGGGAGGACUCUGUCACAUGGCAGGGUCUGGAAUCCUUGUCCUUAUGCUGGAGGAGCUAGCAGGGUACCUGCAGAACCCAGCGUGGUUGUCUUGAGUAGGGAUGAUGGACCUGAGAGGGUGACAGCAGGACUGGGGAGUCUGGGCAGGGUGUUGGGCUGGUUUACGUCAGCCCUGGCCCUAGCAGUCUGCAGUGGUGGCCAACUUUGGAGCAGGCUGCUCACAGCAGAGUUCUGUUGGGAAACCUCUUGACCUACGGAGAGCACACCAGUCCAGGGCUAAGGGCCCUACUGGUUCUGCCCCUAGGAAACUCAGACCAAGCUCACAGGGGCUAACUCUACCAGGUCAGACCUGUCAGAAGGGACCUGGCCAGCCUAGCGGCAUCUGGCGUCGCAGUCCCCUUCAAGGCAAAAGGGGUGUUUGUUGAGACCCUUGGCUAGGGGGAAAUGGGGUUAGUGUCUAGGUUGCCGAGAGGCCUGGCUGUGUGGAGAAUAGGAUUCUGGGCAGUGUGUGACUGUUCCUUCUGAGGAACAGAGCAGUGGGUGACCAUGGCUUGCGAGGAAAGGGGCCAAGAUGGGCACUCCAGCAAGGUUGUACCUCUCAGCUUACAGCCUAAGCUGUUUGCCUGUUGGUCCCUGUAGACCUCCAGCCAGGUCGGUCACCUGUGCCUGUAACCAUACAGCCCAGGUUCCCAGGGUGGUUGGAGUGUUGGCUGGCCCGGUCAGGGAGCCUGGCAAGGAGCAGGAGCAUUUGGUAGAGUGAGGGGCUGGGGAGCUCAUCACUGGCCAAGAUCAAGGAGGCAGGGCGUGAAGCAGGGACUCAGGGCAGACUUUGCCCACACAGCACACAGGGAUGGCUGCCUGUGGGCAGUGCUCCUGACUCUGCUCCCAGCGGUGUGCCUGGGCAUCCUGCAGAGGGUGGGUAGGGAGCCUGAGGUGCCCUUCAUCCUGCCUUUCCUAAGUGUGAGAGCUGAGCAGCCCCCCAAGGAUCAUUGCCCUGCACUGUGUUCCACAGGUAGAAGGUGGGCCCCACACAAGGCAGGACCCCAGGGUGGCCGGGAGUGGUCUCACCAGAGCCUCUCUGCCCCACCCUCUGAGCUGGCCUUGAUGUGCUUCCUUAUUUGCUCUUCAGGUGUAUGUGGCUGCCAAAAGGGGAGGCUCCCCUGAAGACACACUGACAGGCGCCUUGUGUCCUCUGUACCCUGGCUGCCUAGGGCUGACCUUAUGUGGCCCACCUCAUUGGUCCUGCUGUGCCGACUGGAGCACCAUCAGGAGGGUGCAGGCAGGGCCAGGCCAUGACUGCUCCUUGACCCCAGCCAGGCUCCUGAGGCCUAGAAAGAGCAGAAGCUCCAAGGGGCUCUCAGGGCCCACUGUGGAUUGGCCCUGCCCUCCCUCUCCCUUGGCAAGGUACCAGGAAGCUAGAGCUUUGUUAUCUGGGUAAUUAGCUUCAGACCCUGGACUGAGUCCAGCCAGGUCUUAGGGCUACGUCCCACAAUAGGUGUACCCUGAUCUCAAAAGGGAAGUGAGGUGCUGCCUGUCUAGAGACCCUGCUAUCUGAGCAACCAAGGGGCCAGGCCUGCGUGGGACCAGCUGUGGUAUCCUUACACGCCCUUCCUUCUUGGGCUGUGCCCCUCAGGGCUGCCUGGGCCUGAUCACAGCCUCGCCAGGGGCCAAGGGCACAAGCCUCAGGAAGGGAAUGCCCUCAGAGGUGUCAGUCCAGCCAGCUGCUCUGCCACUCAAGCCUGGUCUGACCCCCAUCCCCUGCACUGUGGUACCCCAAGCAGCCCUGUGGGUAGACACCCCCGACCAUGGCUGAGCACCUGGAACUACUGGCAGAGAUGCCCAUGGUGGGCAAGAUGAGCACCCAGGAGCGGCUGAAGCAUGCCCAGAAGCGGCGUGCCCAGCAGGUGAAGAUCUGGGCCCAGGCUGAGAAGGAGGCCCAGGCCAAAAAAGGCAAGUGGAGGCAGCUGCAGAAGGAGGCAGCUGGCCGAGGGCCCCCGAAGCAAGUUGUCUUCCCUCCCAGCGUUGUCCUUCUGGAAGCUGCUGCCCGAAAUGACCUGGAAGAAGGUGAGUGCACUUGUCCCAGGGUGGUACACAAUGGCACUCCCAUCCAUGUGGGCGUGGCCUCAUCGUGUGUUGGGCUCUGGGCUGGGCCUGUGCCCGUCCAGCACUCUUGGGCUUUAGCCACAGGGCAACCAGGGUCUCUGGUUAGGACAACCCCCACUGAGACAGCUCUUCUUCAGCAGAGGCCUCAUGCAAAAGGUCCUGCUGUGAGGCAGGCCAGUUGAGAGAGUACCAGGCUGCAGGGGGCGCCCAUCAGGGCCUGCAGAAGCAUCCAGUGUGUGGGGCUGAGCAGGCUGACAACUCUCACCGCCUCUUGUAAGGAUGCUAGGCUGUGGGUGAGCGCCCUGGCCUCUGCCAGCUGUUCCCUGAGUCCCACCUCUGCAGAGGAGGGUGCUCAUACUUACCUCCAGUUGCAAGAGUCGGGCAAGCUGACCCGGAGCCCACACGGCUGACCCUCUCGCCGCUGCCGUCAGUGUUCCCUUUGACUCCUUCCUUACCAUUGGAGCCUUCCCAGCCUGAUGCCAGCCUGACCUUUCUGCAAGCCCCUCUUCCUCUCCAUGCCUCGUAUUUGUGACCCUCUGAGUACAAGGCUCUGGAGUCUGGGGAGGAGACCUCUUGAUUUUUCUUAAGGGCUCUUCCUGUGUCUUUUGGGGGCAGAGGUGAGGAGGAGUGGGCAGUGACAGUGCAGGAGCCCUCCUGAGACCUGGAGGCUGAGAGGGGACCUGUGGAGAAGGGUGCCAUGUGUGCCACAGGCCUGACCACAAGGAGCCGUGUCUUACUGCUGCAUGGCCAGAGAGGACCCCAGGGACCUUGGCGAUAGCGUGGUCUGAGAUAGGAUUUCUGAAGGGGAGCAAGGGCAGGGACAGGCACUGGUUGAGGGGCUGGGCUCAACAUCAGGAAGAUCAGAGGAGUGUAAGCCCCUACGCUGGGAGCUGAGGGUGGAAUCACCGGCAAGCGGUCUCACAGGAGGGCCGGUUCUGCGGUCUUAGGGGUUGGGUGUCAUGAUAGGAGAGGGGCUGGUGCUGCUGUGUGUGCGGCCUAUUUGGGGCAGACAGACACCCCAGGCUCCUUGAGUCUGCAUGCUUCCUGCCAUCUACACCAGUCUUCUUCUCCCUUCCCUGAUCCCUGGGCAUCAGCAUCAUGGGCCCAGGUGGCCUUGGGCCAGGGAUGGCGUAGGCCAGUCAAGGCCUCACCCAGACGUCACCACCCCCUUCUUACAGUCCGCCAGCUCCUCAGGAGUGGAGUCAGCCCCGACCUGGCCAAUGAGGAUGGGCUGACAGCACUGCACCAGGUCAGCCUGUGUGCGGGGUGGGCAGGGCAGGGGCUGGCAGGGCUCAGGCCACUCAGGCUGUGUGUUUGCAGUGCUGCAUUGAUGAUUUCCGAGAGAUGGUGCAACAGCUCCUGGAGGCUGGGGCUGACGUCAAUGCCCGUGACAGCGAGUGCUGGACCCCCCUGCAUGCUGCAGCCACCUGUGGCCACCUGCACCUGGUGGAGCUUCUCAUUGCCCGGUAGUGUCCAUUGGGCCUUUAUCAUGGAGGGGCUUUCUCACAGAUGGCAGCUCAUGUGGCUAUUCUGUGAAGCUGGUCAGGUCCUGGCUUCCUGUGUCCUCACCUCUGUCCAUCCUGCUUGAGACCCCUGGGGGAUAGUUUGGGCCCACCUGGUAGGCUGGACCACCAGCUCUGGAUGGAGGGCCUUCUCAUGGUCUCCCCUGAGAAAUGCCAUUCUGGUUAGGGUUGAGGGUAGAACGAAUAAGGGGGUAAGGGGAGCAGAGAGGCCAGGUGGGUCUCGGAGGGUGUGCGUGGGUAUCGGUGAGGACUUUUCUCCAACAGGAAGGAAGGUGGAGUGGGGAGUGGUGGUAAGCCCUGUAACUCCAGCUACUUGGGAGGCUGCGACAGGAGGAUCUCAAGUUCAAGGCCAGCCUGGGCAACUUAGAUCUUAUCUCAAAGAUUAAAAAAAAAUGUUUUGGUGGUAUUGGGGAUUAAACUCAGGAUCUCAGGCUAGGCAGCCAUUCUACCACUAAGCUAUAUCCCCAGCCCUUUAAAGUAAAAAAAGAAAAAAUAAAAAAGUAACAAUUAAUGAAAGGACUGAGGAUGUAGCUCAGCUUUUGCCAAGGGUGGACGUGGCUUUGGGUUCAAUCCCUAGUUACACACACACACACACACAUAAAUAAAUAAAUAAAUAGGACUGGGGAUUUUACUUAGUGUUAAAGCACAUCUGGGCUCAGUCCCCAGUACUGGGGGAUGGGAGGAGGAUGGAGCAGAGGAGGUUAGUGGCUUCCUCAGGUUCAGGAGCCUGUCCUUCCUCCCCCCAUCCUGGGCCUCUCCAGUAGAUCAGAGAUCCUCGUGUGGGUGACUGGCUGUUGCCAUCACACAUAAGUGCCUCCUCUGAGUAGAGCAGUAGCCAUGCAGCAAACAGGCCCCCAGGCUCCCCUUGGAGCUGGUGACAGGCUGCAGGUGGGUUCCAAACCUUAGGCAGCCCCUCUGUGUCCUUUGCUCCCCCCAGCUCCCCUUCCCCCAGGCCUGCUUCCCCUGAUCUGUGGGCUCAAAAUCAGCAACUGCUUGGCUUUCUUGCUUCACUUCUCCCUGGGGUCCCCAGAGUGCUGCGUACCUCCUGCAGGUGUACCCUGUAUUUAUGGGGGACAGACGGGUGCCUUGGGCCUUGAAGCCCAGAUGGGUAGACUGCAGGAUGGCCUGUCUGCCUGAGGAACAAGAUCCAGAGCUGAGGGCCUUCCAGAUGAGCCCAGAGGCUUCCUCUCCCAACAGCAGCUAGAACCUACGAGUCCUCCCCAUGUCUGCUGGCACUUCCUGAAGGCAGUCCGAGGCUCAGGGAGGACUUGCUGAAAGGGGACUGAGCAGCCGGCAGCUCUCAUCCGUCCUCCCUGCAGGGGUGCUGAUCUCCUGGCAGUCAACACUGAUGGGAACAUGCCUUAUGACCUGUGUGAGGAUGAGCAGACACUGGACUGCCUGGAGACUGCCAUGGCCCACAGGGGUGAGUGUGCUGUGCCUGCCUGCUCGGGUGGGCCUGGGCAUUCCGUCUCUGAGCCUGCUGCUCCACAGGCAUCACCCAGGACAGCAUUGAGGAGGCCCGGGCCGUGCCAGAGCUGCUCAUGCUGAAGGACCUCCAGAGCCUUCUGCAUGUUGGGGCUGACCUCAAUGACCCGCUGGACCAUGGAGCCACACUGGUGAGGACUUGGCCACGUGGAGGGGGUCUGUUCAGGGGCUGGGGGCUUGUUGGGUGGGUGUGGGACUGGGAUUCAGGGCGGGGUGGCCUGCCUGCAGCUGCACAUGGCCGCCGCCAGUGGGUUCAGUGAGGCAGCUGCCCUGCUGCUGGAGCAUGGAGCCAGCCUGACUGCCAAGGACCUCGACGGCUGGGAGCCGCUGCACGCUGCCGCCUACUGGGGACAGGUGAGUGUGGUCAGGAGCAGAUGCUGAGCGGGCUCUUGGCUGCGGCUCAAGCCCUCAGCAGCCCCCACUGGCUGGCCUGCAGGUGCACCUGGUGGAGCUGCUUGUGGCAAACGGGGCCGACCUGAAUGGGAGAUCCCUGACGGAUGAGACACCCCUUGGUGAGCUCCAGGGCUGCCUCCACCUGGGGGAAGGGACAGGCAGGGAGGGCCCCUGUGACGCUUGUGGUCAUCUCUCAGAUGUCUGUGGUGAUGAGGAGGUGCGGGCCAGGCUGCUGCAGCUGAAGCAGAAGCAGGAGGCACUCUUGCGAGCCCAGGGCCGCCAGCGCUCCCUGCUGCGCCGCCGCGCCUCCAGUGCAGGCAGCCGCGGGUGAGCUGCCCCACAGUCCAUGCCCAGCCCCCACCCCGGCUGUGCCUCAGGAUGGAUGGGAUGUCAGCCUGCAGGUGGAGCUGCCAGCACAACUAGGCCGGGUCUGAGGGACAGCUGGUGUCCCCUCUCACCUCCACCACACCCCGGCCUUCCAGGAAAGUGGUGAGGCGAGUGAGCCUGACCCAGCGCACCGACCUGUACCGCCAGGAGCAUGCCCAGGAGGCCAUCGUGUGGCAGCAGCCACCACCCCCAAGUCCAGAGCCGCUGGAGGAGGAUGAGGACCACCAGACAGACGCAGAGCUCUGGCUGCCACCCCCAGAGGUGAGAGUCCUGGCCUUGUGCUACCCACCUUCCACGUGGCUUUGGCAUGGGUCCUAGGCUGUGACCUGGCAUCAGUAUGUGAGUUUCCCAUUCACACUGGUCCAGUGUGGAGCUGGGAGGACCAGUGACCUUGUGCCCCUAGGUGGGCCAUGCUCCUCAGGGCUGGGCUGUUGUCCCCCUGCCCCUCACGGUUGUUCUUCUACAACCAGGUAGCCUAGAUCCUGAGGCCAGGGCAAGUAAGAGGAGCUGCCUCCUGACAGCCUUGGGCCCUGAUUCUGCCCACAGGAAGAUGACCCUGAGGUGGCCAGGUCCCACAAUGGCCGAGUAGGGGGCCCCCCAGGGCGGCACCUAUACUCCAAGCGGCUGGACCGGAGUGUGUCGUACCAGCUGAGCCCUGUGGAGAGUACCACCCCAGACACCCUUGUCCGGGACAAGGCCCACCACACCUUGGCCGAACUCAAACGCCAGCGGGCUGCUGCCAAGCUCCUGCGACCACAGCCUGAGGGGCCUGAGGCCCCUGAAUCUGGCUUGUCUGCUGACCCCGUGUCCUCCCAGCCGGACUGCGGCUUCAGGGCAGGCGGGGACCCACCCCUGCUCAAGCUCACAGCCCCAUCUGAGGAGGCCCCGAUGGAGAAGAGGCCAUGCUGCUUGCUCAUGUGAGGGGCUGUACCCAUUUCCAGGCCAGCCCGAGGCUUGCCCUGGAGGCCCACUCAGGGUGUGCCCUGGAACUGCAGGUGGGCAGACACCAGAGUCUUCCCCAGCUUCUACCCCUCAGGACAGUGGACUCUCUGUUGGGGAUGGACUUUAGGCAGAGCCGUAUCUGCAGGCAUCUGCUGCAGAGUGUUUGUCCUGUGACGCUUGAUAAAGGGGUGUUUGUCGUCAAGCCUUCCAGUGUCUCCGCUGGGGAGGGGCAGGCGGUGCUGCUGGACAGGUGCCGCCCAUGCCCUCGAGCAAGCACUCAGGCCUGUAGGUGCGUGCUGGGGCUCGCAAGUAGAGGCCUGGCCCCUGUGUGGGAGGGAGGCCCAAGGGCCACUGGGCAAGAAGCCUGGCCUUCCCCACACCCUCCCUGCCAUAUUCGACUUCCUGGAAGCACUGUUAACUCUUUGUUUUCCUGAGGGCAGUAGGGUACUUCAGAAGGAAGCUCUUUUCGGGCCAGAGCUGAGGGGGACCAUACCAAGGGGCAGGAGUCCUGACCUGCCAAGGGAGGGCGUAUUUUUUCCAGGAUUCCUGGGCCAGAGCCAGUAGAGCAAAUCUGGCACGGCCGGCAUCAGGCACUUCCCAGGGGCAGUGGUUCCCCAAUUCGUGGCCUGUUGCCCUGAUCCUGGGCCCUGGCUGACAACUUGUGCCUGGGCUGGUGUAGGUGACAAGCACUUGGCCACUCAGGCGCCGAGCUGGCUGGGUACAAUGUGUAAGGAUGAAGGGGCCCUUAGGGGACUCAAGCUGGAGGGCUGAGGGCACUGCCAGAUCAUCUCUCUGUCCACAGUAGGCAGCCCUGCAUGGCCACCCGCACUGGGUGGUAUGAGUUUAGGCUACCCUCCUCUCCUUGCUGGGUACUGACCUGGUCUGCUCAGUGUCCAGGGCCCGCCUGCCCUUCUAGCAUCUGUGGUUGGAGGGUUGCUGCCCUUAGCAGGUCUGGGGGAGGGCCAGGGGCUAGCUGCUGGUUAAAUUUAGUGAGUGGGGCGGUACCUCUGCCUAAGGUCCACCUACCACCACAGCUGCCACUUGGGCCCUGAUGCCAGAAGUCAGGCAGUGGCUGGCUCUGACUGGGGCCGGGCUCAUAUUAACCUGUCCUCUGAUGUGAGGGCCAAAGGACAGGCCUGUGAAUUGGGAGGCCAUUGUGGCAGCAGAACUGAGAGGUGCAAGUUGAGAGAGGUAUGUGUGUGUGUGUCUGUGUGCAUGUGUGCGCGCGCGUGCAUUCCCCACUUAGAACUCCUGGUGGCUUCUCUCCCAAUCUGCAGAAACAGAGGAGCCAAGGCUCCCCUUCCGUCUAACCAGCUGCUACUGCCCAGCUCAGAGGGCUGGCUUCCCGACUGUCAGUUCACCCUUGGAUCUGGCUGGCCUGGCAGCCUGCAGAGGCAAACCCUGGGAAUGGCCUGUGAGCCUGUGGAGGUGGGGUUCUGGGGGCCUAUUGCAGUUUACUUCCUGCUCUCUCCACCAAUCAGGAAGGAGGGAAGGUGACAGGCUACCCACCCCCAUGGCUGGGGUGUGGCCCCAAGGGCAACCCCAGGCUCCUGUGUGUUGAAAGGGUAUGAGGGCCACCUGGGGCAAGGGGUUCGCCUGCCCUGUCUGCAGCCCUCCUCCUCCCUCCAGCCCCUUGCAAUGCUGAUCAGGGACCAAGGUCCAGCUGCAGUGUUCUUGUAGUCUCUGGGCCAUGGCCAUUGCCCUGGUGGAACUCAGAGUCUCUACUCCUCACUCGUCCCCCCCAGCCCCCCCAGCAUUCCUAAGGUCUGGCUGUCACCUAGGAGACAGGUCUGUCUGCUGGCCUAAGAAAAGAUGGGGGUGCCAAGAGGGCUAGGCCUCAGCAGUGCCCUGCUGAGGUAAAUCCAGUGGCUACUGGCUGCAGUCUCACCUUAGGGGUCACCCCUACCCAACUCUGCCAACCUCUCAGGUCCACUAGGCCCAGGCAUUGAGCCCUUCCCUCCCCCAACACCAAGGCCGUCUCUCCCUACCCCCCAUGUGGGUCUCCUGCGCUCCUGUCAUGGGGACACUGGGCGGGCACUGGGACUCACCCCAAGCCCCGCCUGCUGCCUCACCCACGCCCUCUGCCUCCCUGGGGCAGAACUGUGCCCAGACUAUGGGGUGGAGCCGAGGCGGCUCCAGCUCCUGCAGCCCUUUCUGUCCCUUUCAUUGGAGCCAGUAGGCUGCAGUGAAGCGGGUGUCCUCUUACGUUGAGCUCCCAAGCCUGGACCCUGCUGCCCCCACCACCACCUCUGGGCCUGCCACCUCCUGAGCCACCUUCCUGCCUGAUCUGAGCAGAGUCAUGGCCUUGAGAGUAGGUGACCAGAGCCGGGCUGCACGGAAUGGGCUGAGGGAGAAGGUGCUGACACUGGACUCCAUGAACCCGUGUGUGCGCAAGGUGGAGUACGCCGUGCGUGGCCCCAUAGUGCUGCGGGCCUUGGAGCUGGAGCAGGAGCUGCGCCAGGUACGGUCCCGAGGCCCUGCUACCCUCCUGCUGUUCCUGGGCUACUAGAUCAGCCUCUGGCCCAGUGGCACUUGGGACUAGGGCUGUGGGGGUAAUGGUGCCCAAUCUGGCUGCCUUCUCCCUUUCCCUCCCAGGGUGUGAAGAAACCCUUCACCGAGGUCAUCCGUGCCAACAUUGGAGAUGCACAGGCCAUGGGGCAGAGGCCCAUCACUUUCUUCCGCCAGGUGAGGCUCCUGUACUGCCUGUGUCCCCUGGCUCCAGCCAUCAGUGUGCCCUGACCUCAUCAUUCCGUCCGCCCAGGUCUUGGCCCUCUGUGUCCACCCAGAUCUCUUGCACAGCCCUGACUUCCCUGAGGAUGCCAAACGAAGGGCUCAGCGCAUCUUGCAGGCAUGCGGGGGCCACAGCCUGGGUGAGUGCUGGUGCCAGGCGGGGACCAAGCCCCAGGAAGAAGCAGAGAAGGGUGGAUCUCUUGGGAGGGUUGCGGGAGGACUAGCCACUUUCAUGGGUCUGCUCUGCUCUGCUUGCCGGAGUCCAGGGGCCUAUAGCAUCAGCUCUGGCAUCCAGCUGAUCCGUGAGGAUGUUGCACGGUACAUCGAGAGGCGAGAUGGAGGCAUCCCUGCUGACCCCAACAACAUCUUCCUGUCCACGGGUGCCAGUGAUGCCAUCGUGGUAGGCUGGGCCACGGCAGGACACAAUGGCUCUUCAACUGUGGUUCCACAGGGCAGGGGACGGGUGCAGCCCCUUGGCCCUGCCAACACUGCGCUCCUCCCCCUGCCCACAGACGGUGCUGAAGCUGCUGGUGGCUGGUGAGGGCCGCCGGCGUACAGGCGUGCUCAUCCCUGUCCCGCAGUACCCGCUCUACUCGGCCACUCUGGCCGAACUGGACGCUGUGCAGGUGGACUACUACCUGGAUGAGGAGCGCACUUGGGCACUCGAUGUGGCUGAGCUGCGGCGCAGGCUGUCUCAAGCACGUGACCACUGCUGCCCACGCGCGCUCUGCGUGAUCAACCCCGGCAACCCCACCGGUGCGCCACCUCCCUGCCCCACCUACCCUGACCCCUCCAGCUGCUACAUGCUCCUAGGCCUACCACAAUGGGUCAGUCAACCCCCACUGUCCAGAUGAGCAGGGGUGGGGUGGUGGGUGCCCGCAGUUGACCCUGGCCGCGCUGCUGUCCCCAGGGCAGGUGCAGACCCGGGAGUGCAUCGAGGCUGUGAUCCGCUUCGCAUUCGAAGAGGGACUCUUUCUGAUGGCUGAUGAGGUGCUUACAGGGAUGCGCAAGGGAGGGUGGCUGCGGGUCAGCGGCCGGCCGCGUGACGACAGCGCCCCUGCAGGUGUACCAGGACAACGUGUACGCAGAGGGCUCGCGCUUCUACUCCUUCAAGAAGGUGCUCACCGAGAUGGGCCCACCGUACUCCACGCAGCAGGAGCUUGCCUCCUUCCACUCAGCCUCCAAGGGCUACAUGGGCGAGUGCGUGUGGGCCGGUGGCGGGGGGGGGUUCUUGGACUCCAGCCACUUUCCUGCCCCCUUCUUCCCGGCUGGGCCUCGACCUUGACGCCUGCCCUACCUGGCAGGUGCGGGUUCCGCGGUGGCUACGUGGAGGUGGUGAACAUGGACCCCGAAGUGCAGCGGCAGAUGCUGAAGCUGAUGAGUGUGCGGCUGUGCCCGCCUGUGCCGGGCCAGGCCCUGCUGGACAUGGUGGUCAGCCCGCCAGCACCCUCUGACCCCUCCUUUGCGCAGUUCCAGGAGGUGAGGGAAAUGAGGCCAAGGGCAUCUGGCGAGCCAGUUGGGAAAAGGAUUGAGGGCUAUUGUGUCCCUGCCAUGCCCUGAUUGUCCCCUCCGUGGCUGCAGGAGAGGCAAAUGGUGCUAGCUGAGCUGGCGGCCAAGGCCAAGCUCACGGAGCAGGUCUUCAAUGAAACUCCUGGCAUCAGAUGCAACCCAGUGCAGGGUGCCAUGUACUCCUUCCCUCGAGUGCAGCUGCCCCCCCGGGCGGUCCAGCUUGCUCAGGUCUGGUGGGGCAGGGCAGGGUGGGGCGGAGGCCUGGGCAUAGAGCUCUGACCGCCCUCCACACCGCAGGAGCUCGGCCUGGCCCCAGACAUGUUCUUCUGCCAGCGCCUCCUGGAGGAGACCGGAAUCUGCGUGGUGCCUGGGAGCGGCUUUGGGCAACUGGAGGGCACCUAUCACUUCCGGUGAGACCAGGCCCGCACAGCCUGCCAGUGCCUGCUGUGCCCCCUUUGGCUUAUAGCUUGCCCUUUCCAGGAUGACCAUCCUGCCCCCCAUGGAGAAGCUUCGACUGCUGCUGGAGAAGCUGAGCCGUUUUCAUGCCAAGUUCACCCGGGAGUACUCCUGAGGCCACCACAGGGACCAGGCUGGGCUGCCUGGACUGACUUUGCCCAGGGACCUGGUGGUCUCUGGACCCCUCAGAACUUGCUGCUGCCCCUUGGGGGCUGGGCAUCUCUCUCUGCCAGUUCCUAAUAAAGCUGAGUGUGGUUAUGACUCUGGAGGGGUGAGCCCCACUUCCAUGGGUGAUGACUCC
RNAcentral lists this long non-coding RNA (22094 nucleotides) under Marmota monax (woodchuck). The record is from RNAcentral. Lineage: Eukaryota; Metazoa; Chordata; Mammalia; Rodentia; Sciuridae.